This 2052-nucleotide long non-coding RNA is filed under the name Olea europaea subsp. europaea. The record is from RNAcentral. Lineage: Eukaryota; Viridiplantae; Streptophyta; Magnoliopsida; Lamiales; Oleaceae.
NAUCUAAAGACCCCCACCCCUCAGAGCAAGGACCAGGUGAAGAACAGAGCCACCCUCAAUGUUGUAAUCUUUAGCAGUUUUGUCAUCUGCAAGCUGUUUGCCAGCAUAAAUGAGCCUGCAAUAAAAGAAAUUUCCCAUCACCACACUCAGAAAAAUCUGUACCUUCCAAGUUUCAACCUACAAUUAUGACCCAUGUAAUCAAAGUAAAACAAUGCUGUCUAGAGGCUAUAUCUCGAGAAAGCAUGUCUAUAUGUUAUAAAAUGGCUGACGAUAAUGUUGGAUCUAAUUUCUCAAGGCCGGAGAAGAUUUGCUUCAGUACAGUUGUUCCCCUAACAGCUUAAUAAUUAAAAAUCACAUGGUCUCGUGUUACACUGAUUUCUCCUGCAAAUCAUGGUCCUUCCCAUGGCUCUGGCAACUCUACUACCACGAUAUCACUCUAACCAUUUUGUCUCAACGGUUUCCUUUUUUUGUUCUGCUAUUCGUAAUGAAUAGAUAUGCACGGUGCAUGGACGAAGAUCAAAUUAAUAUUAAUAACUUUAGUUUUCUCCUCAUUAAAAUUAAGAUCAAUUGAAUGAAUCCUUAUGUCAUUAAAUUCAAUCAAAAGCUCUCUCUUUUGAUAGAUCAAAUGAAGUCAAAUCUUUUAUCACCACCUCAUAACAAGUUAAUUUUGGUCUACAUACUCCUAUUAGCUUGUUCUAUUAGAUCAGGUAGGUUUUAACACCUAAAUAUCUUACUUUAGUUUAACAUCAAUUGACACCGCAUUACUUCCUGCCAUAUAUAUAUAUAUAUAUAUAUAUAUAUAUAUAUAUAUAUAUAUUUAGUUUUUUUUUUUUCCCCCUCUAUGUAACUGUACAACUAUCUUUAACAUCCUCAUUCAUGCAGCCCAUAACAUAUUGUUUUUUCAUUAUUUAAAUGUCUCAACACUCACUACAACAAAAGUUAGCUGCUGUUGUUAUAACAGUUCUAUAAAACUUUAUGGUAGGUAGCUUCCAAUCACAAAAUCCAGAAAACCUUUCCCAUGUUGUCUACUCCGCUUAGACAUGUGCAUUAUAACCUGCUCAAGUCCUAAACCUUAAUUAAAAUCAAACUUAAACCAAAGCUCUUUUAGAUAACAUGAUCCAACAUUUUAAUUCCCCCAUUGUACUUGUUCCUUUGAUGACUAAAGAACAUCCCAUAUAUCUUGUAUUACUUUUGCUUAACUCAGAACCCUAGGAUUUCAAAGUAUUUCUUUAAAGUUCUAACUUAUUAUUUAUUCUCCUCCCACUCCUAUCAAGUAGAACUAUAUUAUAAGCCAAUGACAUUUAUCCUAUAUUAUAAGCCAAUGACAUUUAUCAAGGGACCUUAAUCCUUAUCUUGAAUUUCCUAAGUUCAUAAAUGUCAAAAACAACAUAAUUAAGGCUUAGAGUAUGACAUUGAUAUAAGCCUAUUUAAAUGGGAUAUUCCUACUACUAUAUCCACUCAUUCAUACGUUUCUUAACACCAAAGUUCCUAAUGAAAACUUUGUUUCUUCCUAGUUUCCACCAGAGCACUUGCCUAGUAGCUCUAGUUGCAUUUUCUUGCUUUUUCCAUAUUCAUUAUCAAGUUAAAAUUACCCACUAAAAAUUAGGUUUUAAAAGGAACUGGAAUUAGAUCCAUUUAGAUUGCUGAUGUUGAUCAUGAGUGCUGUUACUCAUGCCAAAAGAAAAAAGAAUCAGCAAUGUUGCAGCACUGUCGCCCGCGCUGGGAACCAUUUGAGUAUAAGCAUGAAGCUUAUACAAGUUUAAGCUAUGGGCACAUAUCACAACAUGAGCAUGUUCGGGGUGGUGAACAAGUGAGAAGCAAUGGAAACAAUGGGUGCCCUAACAUAGAGUCAAUUACAAAGCAAGCAGCAGCGCUUAAGGUUAUAUAAAUUACUACAGAAGGGGAAAAAAAUCUAGAGAGGUGUUACAUAAUCUUAAUCCAAAGAAUUUAAAAAGUUGAGUCGAAAAUUGUAUCACAUGAACAAGUGACACUGGGUAGAAGCUCACCAGUUUAAAAUGCAGCUAAAGCUGUUUUAGAAACAAACAAAAUUGG